This 894-nucleotide ribosomal RNA is filed under the name Vibrio cholerae. RNAcentral describes it as "partial 23S ribosomal RNA". It matches the Rfam family "Bacterial large subunit ribosomal RNA", at positions 717 to 1614 of the family's 2925-position model. Lineage: Bacteria; Pseudomonadati; Pseudomonadota; Gammaproteobacteria; Vibrionales; Vibrionaceae. The record is from RNAcentral.
GAAACCGGGUGAUCUAGCCAUGGGCAGGUUGAAGGUUGAGUAACAUCAACUGGAGGACCGAACCGACUAAUGUUGAAAAAUUAGCGGAUGACUUGUGGCUAGGGGUGAAAGGCCAAUCAAACUCGGAGAUAGCUGGUUCUCCCCGAAAGCUAUUUAGGUAGCGCCUCGGACGAAUACUACUGGGGGUAGAGCACUGUUAAGGCUAGGGGGUCAUCCCGACUUACCAACCCUUUGCAAACUCCGAAUACCAGUAAGUACUAUCCGGGAGACACACGGCGGGUGCUAACGUCCGUCGUGGAGAGGGAAACAACCCAGACCGCCAGCUAAGGUCCCAAAGUAUUGCUAAGUGGGAAACGAUGUGGGAAGGCUCAGACAGCUAGGAUGUUGGCUUAGAAGCAGCCAUCAUUUAAAGAAAGCGUAAUAGCUCACUAGUCGAGUCGGCCUGCGCGGAAGAUGUAACGGGGCUAAGCAAUACACCGAAGCUGCGGCAAUAUCUUUUAGAUAUUGGGUAGGGGAGCGUUCUGUAAGCCGUUGAAGGUGAAUCGUAAGGUUUGCUGGAGGUAUCAGAAGUGCGAAUGCUGACAUGAGUAACGACAAAGGGGGUGAAAAACCUCCUCGCCGGAAGACCAAGGGUUCCUGUCCAACGUUAAUCGGGGCAGGGUGAGUCGACCCCUAAGGUGAGGCCGAAAGGCGUAAUCGAUGGGAAACGGGUUAAUAUUCCCGUACUUCUGACUAUUGCGAUGGGGGGACGGAGAAGGCUAGGUGGGCCAGGCGACGGUUGUCCUGGUUCAAGUGCGUAGGCUUGAGAGUUAGGUAAAUCCGGCUCUCUCUAAGGCUGAGACACGACGUCGAGCUGCUACGGCAGUGAAGUCAUUGAUGCCAUGCUUCCAGGAA